This 256-nucleotide ribosomal RNA is filed under the name uncultured bacterium. RNAcentral's name for it is "partial 16S ribosomal RNA". It matches the Rfam family "Bacterial small subunit ribosomal RNA", at positions 99 to 353 of the family's 1533-position model. The record is from RNAcentral.
CGCACGGGUGAGUAACACGUAUCCAACCUGCCGUCUACUCUUGGACAGCCUUCUGAAAGGAAGAUUAAUACAAGAUGGCAUCAUGAGUCCGCAUGUUCACAUGAUUAAAGGUAUUCCGGUAGACGAUGGGGAUGCGUUCCAUUAGAUAGUAGGCGGGGUAACGGCCCGCCUAGUCUUCGAUGGAUAGGGGUUCUGAGAGGAAGGUCCCCCACAUUGGAACUGAGACACGGUCCAAACUCCUACGGGAGGCAGCAUG